GACGAACGCUGGCGGCGCGCCUAACACAUGCAAGUCGAACGAGCGAGAGAGAGCUUGCUUUCUUGAGCGAGUGGCGAACGGGUGAGUAACGCGUGAGGAACCUGCCUCAAAGAGGGGGACAACAGUUGGAAACGACUGCUAAUACCGCAUAAGCCCACGGUGCCGCAUGGCACAGAGGGAAAAGGAGCAAUCCGCUUUGAGAUGGCCUCGCGUCCGAUUAGCUAGUUGGUGAGGUAACGGCCCACCAAGGCGACGAUCGGUAGCCGGACUGAGAGGUUGAACGGCCACAUUGGGACUGAGACACGGCCCAGACUCCUACGGGAGGCAGCAGUGGGGAAUAUUGCACAAUGGGGGAAACCCUGAUGCAGCGACGCCGCGUGGAGGAAGGAGGUCUUCGGAUUGUAAACUCCUGUUGUUGGGGAAGAUAAUGACGGUACCCAACAAGGAAGUGACGGCUAACUACGUG
This 466-nucleotide ribosomal RNA is filed under the name uncultured bacterium. RNAcentral describes it as "partial 16S ribosomal RNA". It matches the Rfam family "Bacterial small subunit ribosomal RNA", at positions 28 to 507 of the family's 1533-position model. The record is from RNAcentral.